This 1307-nucleotide ribosomal RNA is filed under the name Pristigenys alta (short bigeye). RNAcentral's name for it is "partial 16S ribosomal RNA". It matches the Rfam family "Bacterial large subunit ribosomal RNA", at positions 568 to 2574 of the family's 2925-position model. The record is from RNAcentral. Lineage: Eukaryota; Metazoa; Chordata; Actinopteri; Priacanthiformes; Priacanthidae.
AAGCAGAGAUUUUCCCUCGUACCUUUUGCAUCAUGAUUUAGCUAGAAAAAUCCAAGCAAAGAGCACUUUAGUUUGGCUCCCCGAAACUAAGUGAGCUACUCCAAGACAGCCUAUUAAUAGGGCAAACCCGUCUCUGUGGCAAAAGAGUGGGAAGAGCUUUGAGUAGAGGUGACAGACCUACCGAACCUAGUUAUAGCUGGUUGCCUGAGAAUUGGAUAGAAGUUCAGCCUCCCGGCUUCUCCCCUCACUUCACGUGUUACCCCCUUUUGACACCUUAAAGAAACCGAGAGAGUUAAUCAAAGGAGGUACAGCUCCUUUGAUACAAGACACAACUUUAAACAGGAGGGUAAAGAUCAUAAUUACCUAAAGGAAAAAUGUUCCGGUGGGCCUAAAAGCAGCCAUCCCAACAGAAAGCGUUAAAGCUCGAACAUACCUUAAACCCUCUUCAUCCUGAUAAUACAAUCUUAACCCCCUAAUUUUACCAGGCCACCCCAUGUUACCAUGGGGGCGACUAUGCUAAUAUGAGUAAUAAGAGAGUACCAACCUCUCUCCCCGCACAAGUGUAUAUCGGAACGGACCCGCCGCCGAAACUUAACGGCCCCAAACAAAGAGGGCAUUGAACAACACACCAAACAACCAGAAAAACAUCCAAUAAUUUACCGUUAACCCUACACUGGUGUGCCCCAAGGGAAAGACUGAAAGAAAGAGAAGGAACUCGGCAAACACAUAAAGCCUCGCCUGUUUACCAAAAACAUCGCCUCUUGCAAAACCAAUGAAUAAGAGGUCCCGCCUGCCCUGUGACUAUAAGUUUAACGGCCGCGGUAUUUUGACCGUGCGAAGGUAGCGCAAUCACUUGUCUUUUAAAUGGAGACCUGUAUGAAUGGCACAACGAGGGCUUAGCUGUCUCCUCUUUCUAGUCAAUGAAAUUGAUCUCCCCGUGCAGAAGCGGGGAUACCCUCAUAAGACGAGAAGACCCUAUGGAGCUUUAGACACCAAGACAGAUCAUGUUAAACACCCCAAAACAAAGGGCCAAACCAGAUGAACCCUGUCCUAAUGUCUUUGGUUGGGGCGACCGCGGGGAAACAUAAAACCCCCACGUGGAAUGGGAAUACCCCCUCCUAAAACUGAGAGCUCCCGCUCUAAUUAACAGAAUUUCUGACCAAUCAGAUCCGGCAACGCCGAUCAACGAACCGAGUUACCCUAGGGAUAACAGCGCAAUCCCCUUCUAGAGCCCAUAUCGACAAGGGGGUUUACGACCUCGAUGUUGGAUCAGGACAUCCUAAUGGUGCAGCCGCUAUUAAGGGUUC